RNAcentral lists this ribosomal RNA (383 nucleotides) under uncultured eukaryote. RNAcentral describes it as "partial 18S ribosomal RNA". It matches the Rfam family "Eukaryotic small subunit ribosomal RNA", at positions 592 to 976 of the family's 1831-position model. The record is from RNAcentral.
CAAUAGCGUAUAUUAAAGUUGUUGCAGUUAAAAAGCUCGUAGUUGGAUUUGUGGUGUGUCCAGUCGGCCUUUGCUCUCUGAGUGAUUGUGCUGUACUGGUCUGCCAUGUUUGGGUGGAAUCUGUGUGGCAUUAAGUUGUCGUGCAGGGGAUGCCCAUCGUUUACUGUGAAAAAAUUAGAGUGUUCAAAGCAGGCUUAUGCCGUUGAAUAUAUUAGCAUGGAAUAAUGAUAUAGGACCUUGGUACUAUUUUGUUGGUUUGCGCACUAAGGUAAUGAUUAAGAGGGACAGUUGGGGGUAUUUGUAUUCCAUUGUCAGAGGUGAAAUUCUUAGAUUUUUGGAAGACAAACUACUGCGAAAGCAUUUACCAAGGAUGUUUNCAUUAA